Molecule: long non-coding RNA, 957 nt
Organism: Drosophila miranda
Lineage: Eukaryota; Metazoa; Arthropoda; Insecta; Diptera; Drosophilidae
Exons: 3
Source: RefSeq, a predicted model, not a curated record
UAUUAUUAUUUAUUUAUCUGGUCUUUUACUUUUUACCUGCCUCGCAGGUGCAUACAUUAUCGACAUCGUCUUUCCUACUGCACCAUGCUUUACCUCUUCGGCUUUGACCGGCACGUCCUCCCCUCUGGCACCCAGGAAUACCUCUUGCGUGCCUGCGGACACCGAUAGGCCCACCAUCGUCUACAAGGCCUUCACCCUUCUGGUCUUCCGGUUCUUAUCAGCGAGUGGUUGCCUUAUAUCUAGGCGCCUGACCGGCGGACAUCACGAACUUCCCGCCAGCUCCUGUGCACGGGGCCACGACGCCGUGAGCCCUUCGGGACAUGACUCCUGUCGCGCGAGCUGUGGCCUUUGGUAUGUUCGACCUUUGUCUCCGGUCACUGCCAUGGCCCUCUUCUCCGCCUUUCCAGUCCGCUCGUCGUUGCUACCUCCUCCGCGGGUGAUUCCGUCGUAGCUCCUCGUCCUCUCGAGAGUUUCACGGGAUGUGCUCCUGGCUGGACUGCGGCAACCACUGGCUUUGGCAUCCUAUCCCCUGCAGCAGGGACUAGUGAUCGGUGGCUUGUUGGUUCACGCCCACGGGAAAUCAUUUCAGCAUGCCCCCUAUCCAUACACCGCCAAAUCAAACGCUGGGCUUCAGCUUCGAGACGCAGAACUGAUUUCCCCACGCAAGACGGAAUCCAAGUCAGACAGAAUCGUAUUCCAACAGGACAGAAGCGCUCCUUUUCAAGAGCCCGAACCUAACAAGCCGCCGCAUCUUUUGACCUGGCCAUCGGCAACUAUCUCAAGGACCUUGGCCAUGGCAACCAAGGAGCAGCUGUGCUGUCUACUCGACUCUAGAUAGAUCUUUUGUUGUUAGGCUUAAGGAUACAUAACUCUAUAAAUUUAAAUAGUAAAUGUAAUCAACUUGUUUAUUUAUUUAUACUAAGUUAAGUUAUGAUGAAUAAAACUAUUGAAUAAUCA